CCUACGGGGGGCAGCAGUGAGGAAUAUUGGUCAAUGGGCGGAAGGCUGAACCAGCCAUGCCGCGUGAAGGUCAGUGGCCCAUCGGCGUGUAAACUCUUUUGUGCGGGAGCAAUAAUGGUCACGUGUGGCCAGACGAGAGUACCGUACGAAUAAGCAUCGGCUCACUCCGUGCCAGCAGCGGCGGUAAUACGGGGGAUGCAAGCGUUAUCCGGAUUUAUUGGGUUUAAAGGGUGCGUAGGCUGGGAGGUAAGUCAGCGGUGAAAUGCCCCCGCUCAACGGGGUGAAGGGCCAUUGAUACUGCCUGGCUGGAAUGCGGAUGCCGUGGGAGGAAUGUGUGGUGUAGCGGUGAAAUGCAUAGAUAUCACACAGAACACCGAUUGCGAAGGCAUCUCACGAAUCCGCGAUUGACGCUGAUGCACGAAGGCGUGGGUAUCAAACAGGAUUAGAUACCCGUGUAGUC
RNAcentral lists this ribosomal RNA (460 nucleotides) under uncultured bacterium. RNAcentral describes it as "partial 16S ribosomal RNA". It matches the Rfam family "Bacterial small subunit ribosomal RNA", at positions 338 to 795 of the family's 1533-position model. The record is from RNAcentral.